GCUUACGGCCAUACCAACCUGGCUAUGCCCGAUCUCGUCUGCUCUCGGAAGCUAAGCAGGUUUGGGCCUGAGUUAGUACUUGGAUGGGAGACCGCCUGGGAAAUACCAGGUGCUGUAAGCU
RNAcentral lists this ribosomal RNA (121 nucleotides) under Carassius auratus (goldfish). The record is from RNAcentral. Lineage: Eukaryota; Metazoa; Chordata; Actinopteri; Cypriniformes; Cyprinidae.